GGUCUGAUGGGAUUAUUGCGCAACGAGCCCCUCCGCAUUUGCUUUCAUUUUAAUUUGAUUUUUAUUCAUUUUUUAAUUGUUACCUCAUAUUUAGUUCCAAUUUCAAUUAGAUCCAUGUUUGAACGACGUCGUUUUCAUUAAUUGGGUUUGAAGGCCUGGUUUUGUGCGUCUAAAUUGCAGCAAUGGUCCCUCUGAUGUGCAAUGGUUCUCGAUUUGGUUGUCUUCACACUUAUUUCAAAGACGUCCCUGAGAUUUUGUUUUAUUUUUGAAAUUGUCCUUGUCUUCUUUUAAUUUAUAAUGCUAUUAUUAUUAUUAUUGUUAUUAUUACUAUUAUUAAUAUAGGUAUUGUUAUCGUGUUGGUUUAUAUCUAUUUAUUUACUUUUAUUUUACAUUAUUUUAUUUUAUUAUGUAUUAUUUUGUAAUGCUUUUAUCAUGUAU
This 438-nucleotide long non-coding RNA is filed under the name Gossypium raimondii (Peruvian cotton). Its description in RNAcentral is "long non-coding RNA (GRAI_LNC008101)". Lineage: Eukaryota; Viridiplantae; Streptophyta; Magnoliopsida; Malvales; Malvaceae. The record is from RNAcentral.